Molecule: ribosomal RNA, 259 nt
Filed under: uncultured bacterium
Lineage: Bacteria
Description: partial 16S ribosomal RNA
Rfam family: Bacterial small subunit ribosomal RNA
Source: RNAcentral
CUUGCAAACUAAAGAUGGCGACCGGCGCGCGGGUGAGUAACACGUAUCCAACCUGCCGAUAACUCGGGGAUAGCCUUUCGAAAGAAAGAUUAAUAUCCGAUAGUAUAUUAAAACCGCAUGGUUUUACUAUUAAAGAAUUUCGGUUAUCGAUGGGGAUGCGCUCCAUUAGUUUGUUGGCGGGGUAACGGCCCACCAAGACUACGAUGGAUAGGGGUUCUGAGAGGAAGGUCCCCCACAUUGGAACUGAGACACGGUCCAA